RNAcentral lists this long non-coding RNA (336 nucleotides) under Triticum aestivum (bread wheat). RNAcentral describes it as "long non-coding RNA (TAES_LNC023948)". Lineage: Eukaryota; Viridiplantae; Streptophyta; Magnoliopsida; Poales; Poaceae. The record is from RNAcentral.
GAAAGAAAAACCUGUUAGUCCUGCGAUUCUUCUUCUUGUGAAAAUGUUCAGGUUUGAUGCAGCAAGGUAGCUGAAACUGCGAGAUGGUAGGUUUCUUACCCCGUCGAGGGUGGCGAAGAGCUUGCCGGUGAGGUCCUUGAGGUCCUUCUUUUCCUCCUUGGUGGUCUUGGAGGAGAUGACGGUCUUGAGGUCGUAGCGCAGGUAGGAGGCCCUCAGGCGGAGGUCGUUCAUGACGUACGGCCAUUGCUUCUUGUCGAUGAGCGGCUUGAGGUUGAGGAUGUCCUGGGCCGACUCCUUGGCCCGGACCGCCGCCUCCGCCGGUGGCAGCGGCUGCAG